GGUUGAUCCUGCCGGACCUGACUGCUAUCGGAUUGAUACUAAGCCAUGUGAGUCAUUGUAGCAAUACAAGGCAGACGGCUCAGUAACACGUAGUCAAUCUACCCUAUGGACGGGGAUAACCUCGGGAAACUGAGGAUAACACCCGAUAGAUCAUAAUUCCUGGAAUGGUUUAUGGUCCAAACGAUUCGUCGCCGUAGGAUGGGACUGCGGCCUAUCAGCUUGUUGGUGAGGUAAUGGCCCACCAAGGCUAUUACAGGUACGGGCUCUGAGAGGAGAAGCCCGGAGAUGGGUACUGAGACACGGACCCAGGCCCUAUGGGGCGCAGCAGGCGAGAAACCUUUGCAAUGUGCGCAAGCACGACAAGGUUAAUCCGAGUGUUUCCUGCUAAAGGAAUCUUUUGUUAGUUGUAAAACCACUAUCGAAUAAGGGGUGGGCAAGUUCUGGUGUCAGCCGCCGCGGUAAAACCAGCACCUCAAGUGGUCAGGAGGAUUAUUGGGCCUAAAGCAUCCGUAGCCUGUUCUGUAAGUUUUCGGUUAAAUCCACUAGCUCAACUAGUGGGCUGCCGAAAAUACUGUAGAACUAGGGAGUGGGAGAGGUAGACGGUAUUCGGUAGGAAGGGGUAAAAUCCUUUGAUCUAUUGAGGACCACCUGUGGCGAAGGCGGUCUACCAGAACACGUUCGACGGUGAGGGAUGAAAGCUGGGGGAGCAAACCGGAUUAGAUACCCGGGUAGUCCCAGCUGUAAACGAUGCAGACUCGGUGAUGCCCUGGCUUGUGGCCAGUGCAGUGCCGCA
RNAcentral lists this ribosomal RNA (793 nucleotides) under uncultured sediment archaeon. Its description in RNAcentral is "bacterial SSU rRNA". It matches the Rfam family "Archaeal small subunit ribosomal RNA", at positions 6 to 805 of the family's 1478-position model. The record is from RNAcentral.